GGUAGACUUGCUCCCUGAUCUUAGCGGCGGACGGGUGAGUAACACGUGGGCAACCUGCCCUGCAGACUGGGAUAACUCCGGGAAACCGGAGCUAAUACCGGGUAAUACAUCGCACCGCAUGGUGCAAUGUUGAAAGUUGGCUUUCGAGCUAACACUGCAGGAUGGGCCCGCGGCGCAUUAGCUAGUUGGUAAGGUAAUGGCUUACCAAGGCGACGAUGCGUAGCCGACCUGAGAGGGUGAUCGGCCACACUGGGACUGAGACACGGCCCAGACUCCUACGGGAGGCAGCAGUAGGGAAUCUUCCGCAAUGGACGAAAGUCUGACGGAGCAACGCCGCGUGAGUGACGAAGGCCUUCGGGUCGUAAAGCUCUGUUGUUAGGGAAGAACAAGUACCGUUCGAAUAGGGCGGUACCUUGACGGUACCUAACCAGAAAGCCACGGCUAACUACGUGCCAGCAGCCGCGGUAAUACGUA
This 474-nucleotide ribosomal RNA is filed under the name Guptibacillus hwajinpoensis. Its description in RNAcentral is "bacterial SSU rRNA". It matches the Rfam family "Bacterial small subunit ribosomal RNA", at positions 75 to 529 of the family's 1533-position model. Lineage: Bacteria; Bacillati; Bacillota; Bacilli; Caryophanales; Guptibacillaceae. The record is from RNAcentral.